ACAGCAACAGCAAGUUUUUUUGACAAGCUUAUGUGACAUUUUAUUUGAUCGAUCGUUCCAGUUCCUAUCGCAGAAAUACUAUUAUAUUUUCUUCCUAUAGUCCUAUGUUCUGAGUACAGCAAAAAGGGAGAUGUACAAAGUUUCAACGAGAUAGGAGGGGCUAUGGAAAGAAGCAGACUUUGAUCGUAUUUCUGAUCAGGAACCUUCUUCAAGGCUAAAGUCAGUCAGCGACAUAGAGUCAAACGUGAUCCUUAUUUAUCUGCUUGGACAUCUCAGAGGGAGUCUCAAGAUGCAGGUACUGCCAGAUGGUCCUUGCUUAUUACAAUUGGAACUCUUUAACAAAAGGAUGAUCAAUAACCACAAACUUUAUUAUUCAUACAUAUGUAACAUGCUUGCACGGUCACACUUAAAUGCGCUGCUGACUGCUGACUGGACCCGAACAGAGCCGGAGUGGGCUUUGGCUCAUAAUCGAUACGAUCAUUGUUAAGCCGAAGUAACAAACACCCGAAACCUCCGAUCCGAAAACGAGCAGCAAGGCACUGAUUGAGUGGUUUAAAAUCAACAGCGAACAAUGCUAAGAUUCUUUAGAUGUGCAUUUCAAUGAUUCUGUGACUUCUGAGUAAUGGGAUAGAUGUCGCAUCCGUGUUGCUUAUUUAAGGAUU
Molecule: small RNA, 662 nt
Filed under: Drosophila pseudoobscura pseudoobscura
Lineage: Eukaryota; Metazoa; Arthropoda; Insecta; Diptera; Drosophilidae
Description: GA32190
Source: RNAcentral